This is a long non-coding RNA of Mustela lutreola (European mink), 3171 nucleotides long. RefSeq lists it as uncharacterized. The transcript has 8 exons. The record is from RefSeq and is a predicted model, not a curated record. NCBI's taxonomy places the organism in Eukaryota, Metazoa, Chordata, Mammalia, Carnivora, Mustelidae.
AUGGAUUGUUGUGUGAGAUAUUUCAUUAGUCUUGUCACAUAGAAUUUCACGUAAAAAUACUUAAAAUCCAGUUAGAUCCAGCUCAUUGUCAGUCCGUUGGACUAUGGGCUCCCCAAGGGCAAGGACCAUGCCUAAUUUAUCAUCUUGAACCCUAUUAAUGGUGCUGGGAACAUAGGAGGUCCUGAUUAAAUAACCAAUACACGGAACUUAGCUGACCUCAAAGAGAGGUACUAACCAGACAGAGCUAACAAGGAGCGACCUCUUGGUAGAGGUUAGCAGCAUCACACAGAUGUACAUGGCCAGAAUGUACGGUCUCAACUGAGUCUGAAUGCCAGCUCUUCCACUUACUACCUGGGUGACCUCUUUAAGUUACUUAUCCUUUCUGAGCCUCAAUUUUUCCAUUCAUAAAAUGGCUUUAUUAAUGUAUCCACUGCAUUUGGUAAUUGACAGUUAAAUACAACUGGUAUUAGAAAUCAAUUAUUUCAAUAGCCCCCCCCAAAAAAAUGUCUUUUUAGAUUUUAAAAAAUUUUUCCCAAAAAAUUGAGGUACAGUUUCUAUACAGGUUUGAACAUUCUGGGCCAAUUCAAAACAAAACAAAACAGUAAAGAAACCACCUUUCUAGGCAAUAUGUCUUGAGUGGGUUUCCCCACUAAUUUCCAUGAAUCCCUCAUCUACAUUGAGUUUCUGACUGUUCCUAGUGUUGGUGAAACCCACUAGUAAAGAGCAUGUAAGAAAAAAGGAAGCUAACAUAUGGGGGGGGGGGCUGUCUGGUGACCUUUAACCUUUUUCUUUUCAUCCAUUAUGACAGGAUGAGCUAUGCUACUGAGAAACUAAAGCAGCACUGUUGAAGUUGCCUUUGGCAAAUUCUACUAGCAUUUUUUUGGCAAGUGCCCCAGAGGCAUGCUGGUCUCAAUUUACACUGAUUUCUAAAGUAAAUUUUACUACGAAAUUAGUUUUCCCUACCAUUCUCAAAAAGUAACCUUCAAAGGAAUUCUACAGAGCAGAAUGUUUAAGAACCUGGGAUAUGUGGCCUUUUCAAUCUGAUUUCAAAUCCCCUAUUUUUCUUACUGGCUGAGGGCUUGGACUAGUCACUUAACUUCCUUGAGUUACAGGUUUCCUCUCUCUGAAAGCAUGGUAGUAAUCACAGCUACUUGGAGGUUUUUAUGGAGAUUAAAAGAGAAAUCUCACAAAAAUUGCCAUGGGCAAUUUGUUGUACAUAGUAUGUUUUCAAUAAAUAAAUCAUGUUAUUAAUUAUCACACUGGAUAGCUGUGAUGUCUUAAAAUAAACAGCAAUUAUCCCAAGAGAAAUGUUCAGUGAGGAUACUAGCUGUUAAGAAGAAAUAAGUUUCUGUUUUUCUGAGUCCCACACAGAAUGGAGACGAGCACUACCUCUGACUUCACCAUUUUUCUUGCAUCCGCACUUGCGAGUCAAGAGACUGCAUGGAACGUUUUGAAAUGAAAAGGUAGUAUGAAGAUGGAUAAGAAGGAGAAUGCACAUCAAAUAGUGUGUGCUGUGUCUGGCAGAUAGCAAACACCAACUGUAAGUGCCAUGCCGUAAUUUUCUGUGUUGGAUUGAAUUCUUCACUAGUCUGGGCAUCGAUACCUCUGCCUUCACCCAAGUGAGGCUGCUUCACUGCCUCUGAACUUCAGGCUGGACCAUCUAACUUGUGUUGGCUAACAUGCACAAAGCUACCCUUCUACCCCACAUUUUCAUCAGACCAUAGAUUCCAGUGAGGAUCCUCACACUUCAAAAGCAUCAAGAUCACCAGUGAAGAAAAUGGAGAUUCCUGCCAAUAUAGAUUGAGCUUGAGAAUGGCUAGUCCAGCACCUUCAAAGAACUGGAACCCUGUUCAACAACUUGACUACAACCUCAUGAGAGGUCCUGAACCAGAAUCAUCCAGCGAAGUCACUCGUGGAUUCUUGAUUCUCAAGAGCUUUGUGAGACUGAGAUCACAAGUAUGCAGAAAGGCAGGCAGAGAGAAAGUGGGAAGCAGGAUCCUCAACGAGCAGAGAGCCUGAUGCAGGAUCUUGUGCCAUAAGAUCCAGGACCCUGAGAUCUUGACCCAAGCCGAAGGCAGAGGCUUAACCCACUGAGCCACCCAGGGAUGAAUGAUAUGCUAAGAAUGCAGCAUAAUUCUAAUGGAUAAAGGGAGUACCUUUGCCGGGAAUGACCAGCGAUCCCUGUACCAACGGAUGAAAGAUUACUCCAAACUCUGCUGUAAGAAAGAGGGGAAGGCAAGAGGGUCAAUGCUCAGAGUCGAAGACCCUUGCUCUUCCUUGCUGCUGCUUUUACUGGUCCUUCCGGAUAAUCACAAAUCCUUAUCACUGUUUCUCAAGCACGUGAUGUGUGACAAGGGGUCUUACUGAAGCUAGUAGGAAAGAUACAAUAUGCUAAUCUGCGUGUUCUACAAGUUCUGCUAAACACAACCUAAGGGACAAUGCCUACACUGCUUAGAUCCCAGGGCUGCCAUUCUGGCUAAGAAAGCUCUGGGGAAGGCAACUCCCCUAGACAUUCCUAUGGCCGAGUGGUCACGCAGGCCUCAGCAUUCCAAAGGCCUAUGCCUUUCUCCAAAACCUUCCUUGCCCUAAGUGGCCUCUGGUAUUCUGGAUGAUUCCAUGCUCUACAAGAACCCCACCAUGCCUUCACCUGUCUUCCAUCAUCACUGGGCCCCACUCAGCACCAGCUCCCCAGCAGGCUGUGCCAAGCUUAGGAAUUCGUCUUCCCACUUACGUGGAAAUUGAGAGCAGUGCUACCCUAUAUGCUGUGAUUAUACAGUAUGAAUGGGUUUCUGUUUUCUGUUUUUGGUUAGAAUCUCUUCUUAUGGAUCUGUCUGUACCUGAAAAACAGAUUUUAAUUAGCUGCCAUUAUCCUAUGAACUGGAAAACCCACUCUUAGGAGUUUUGAAACUUAAUGAACCUAAAGAUUUGCUCAUAAUCAACCUUGGAUAUUAAAGAAUGAAACAUUUUAUUGGAAAAAAGGAUGACAAAUCAGAUACCUCUUAGCAUCAAAAAUGAAAACAAUAGCAACAAGCUAACUUUUCCAAUUUCUUUUUAUGUUUCCUCAUUUGAUUAUUAGAGUGGGAAAAAAAUGACACGAUAGGAAAGGUGUGGGCAAAAAAAAAAAAAAAACCUUUGUGAACAUUUUUGAAUAAUAAAUAAUGCCACUUGAUG